This 1025-nucleotide ribosomal RNA is filed under the name Pleosporales sp. RNAcentral's name for it is "SSU rRNA". It matches the Rfam family "Eukaryotic small subunit ribosomal RNA", at positions 73 to 1108 of the family's 1831-position model. The record is from RNAcentral. Lineage: Eukaryota; Fungi; Ascomycota; Dothideomycetes; Pleosporales.
AAUUAUCCGUGAAACUGCGAAUGGCUCAUUAAAUCAGUUAUCGUUUAUUUGAUAGUACCUUACUACUUGGAUAACCGUGGUAAUUCUAGAGCUAAUACAUGCUGAAAACCCCAACUUCGGGAGGGGUGUAUUUAUUAGAUAAAAAACCAACGCCCUUCGGGGCUUCUUGGUGAUUCAUGAUAACUUUACGGAUCGCAUGGCCUUGCGCCGGCGACGGUUCAUUCAAAUUUCUGCCCUAUCAACUUUCGAUGGUAAGGUAUUGGCUUACCAUGGUUUCAACGGGUAACGGGGAAUUAGGGUUCGAUUCCGGAGAGGGAGCCUGAGAAACGGCUACCACAUCCAAGGAAGGCAGCAGGCGCGCAAAUUACCCAAUCCCGACACGGGGAGGUAGUGACAAUAAAUACUGAUACAGGGCUCUUUUGGGUCUUGUAAUUGGAAUGAGUACAAUUUAAACCUCUUAACGAGGAACAAUUGGAGGGCAAGUCUGGUGCCAGCAGCCGCGGUAAUUCCAGCUCCAAUAGCGUAUAUUAAAGUUGUUGCAGUUAAAAAGCUCGUAGUUGAAACUUGGGUCUGGCUGGCAGGUCCGCCUCACCGCGUGUACUUGUCCGGCCGGGCCUUCCUUCUGGAGAACCUCAUGCCCUUCACUGGGCGUGUUGGGGACCAGGACUUUUACUUUGAAAAAAUUAGAGUGUUCAAAGCAGGCCUUUGCUCGAAUACGUUAGCAUGGAAUAAUAGAAUAGGACGUGCGGUCCUAUUUUGUUGGUUUCUAGGACCGCCGUAAUGAUUAAUAGGGACAGUCGGGGGCAUCAGUAUUCAAUUGUCAGAGGUGAAAUUCUUGGAUUUAUUGAAGACUAACUACUGCGAAAGCAUUUGCCAAGGAUGUUUUCAUUAAUCAGUGAACGAAAGUUAGGGGAUCGAAGACGAUCAGAUACCGUCGUAGUCUUAACCGUAAACUAUGCCGACUAGGGAUCGGGCGAUGUUCUUUUUCUGACUCGCUCGGCACCUUACGAGAAAUCAAAGUUUUU